CUAAGCAUGAAGCCCCCCUCAAGAUGAGAUUUCCCAUAGCGCAAGCUAGUAAGAACCCUGAAAGAUGAUCAGGUUGAUAGGUCAGAGGUGGAAGCGUGGUAACAUGUGGAGCUGACUGAUACUAAUCGUUCGAGGACUUAACCAU
RNAcentral lists this ribosomal RNA (145 nucleotides) under Neobacillus drentensis. RNAcentral's name for it is "partial 23S ribosomal RNA". It matches the Rfam family "Bacterial large subunit ribosomal RNA", at positions 2781 to 2925 of the family's 2925-position model. The record is from RNAcentral. Lineage: Bacteria; Bacillati; Bacillota; Bacilli; Caryophanales; Bacillaceae.